UUUAGUGCGAGCGCGUAUUUUU
RNAcentral lists this microRNA (22 nucleotides) under Schistosoma japonicum. RNAcentral's name for it is "miRNA-3122". Lineage: Eukaryota; Metazoa; Platyhelminthes; Trematoda; Strigeidida; Schistosomatidae. The record is from RNAcentral.